This 316-nucleotide ribosomal RNA is filed under the name uncultured eukaryote. RNAcentral's name for it is "partial 18S ribosomal RNA". It matches the Rfam family "Eukaryotic small subunit ribosomal RNA", at positions 1470 to 1796 of the family's 1831-position model. The record is from RNAcentral.
CCCUUAGAUGUCCUGGGCUGCACGCGCGCUACACUGAUGCGCUCAACGAGUUUUUGAUCUUGCCUGAAAUGGCUUGGUAAUCUUUUUAAAACGCAUCGUGAUGGGGAUAGACUUUUGCAAUUUUUGGUCUUCAACGAGGAAUUCCUAGUAAACGCAAGUCAUCAACUUGCAUUGAUUACGUCCCUGCCCUUUGUACACACCGCCCGUCGCACCUACCGAUUGAAUGGUCCGGUGAAGCCUCCGGAUUGGCGCGCACCUCGGUGCCGCCGAGAAGUUGGCUAAACCUUACCAUUUAGAGGAAGGUGAAGUCGUAACA